Molecule: ribosomal RNA, 794 nt
Filed under: uncultured archaeon
Lineage: Archaea
Description: bacterial SSU rRNA
Rfam family: Archaeal small subunit ribosomal RNA
Source: RNAcentral
ACUGCUCAGUAACACGUGGACAACCUACCCUUAGGUCAGGUAUAACCCCGGGAAACUGGGAAUAAUACCGGAUAUUGGGCGAAGGCUGGAAUGCAUCGCUCAAGAAAGCUCCGGCGCCUAAGGAUGGGUCUGCGGCCUAUCAGGGUAGUAGUGGGUGUAACGUACCUACUAGCCUACGACGGGUACGGGUUGUGAGAGCAAGAGCCCGGAGAUGGAUUCUGAGACACGAAUCCAGGCCCUACGGGGUGCAGCAGGCGCGAAAACUUUACAAUGCUGGCAACAGCGAUAAGGGGACCUCGAGUGCCAGGAUACAAUCCUGGCUGUCGUAAUGCCUAAAAAGCAUUGCAUAGCAAGGGCCGGGCAAGACCGGUGCCAGCCGCCGCGGUAAUACCGGCGGCUCGAGUGGUAACCGUUAUUAUUGGGUCUAAAGGGUCUGUAGCCGGCUGGAUAAGUCUCUUGGGAAAUCCGGCAGCUCAACUGUCGGGCUUUCAGGAGAUACUGUCCGGCUCGAGACCGGGAGAGGUGAGAGGUACUUCAGGGGUAGGGGUGAAAUCUUGUAAUCCUUGAAGGACCACCAGUGGCGAAGGCGUCUCACCAGAACGGAUCUGACGGCAAGGGACGAAAGCUAGGGGCACGAACCGGAUUAGAUACCCGGGUAGUCCUAGCCGUAAACGAUACUCGCUAGGUGUCGGCCACGGUGCGACCGUGGUCGGUGCCGUAGGGAAGCCGUGAAGCGAGCCACCUGGGAAGUACGGCCGCAAGGCUGAAACUUAAAGGAAUUGGCGGGGGAGCAC